RNAcentral lists this ribosomal RNA (253 nucleotides) under uncultured bacterium. RNAcentral describes it as "partial 16S ribosomal RNA". It matches the Rfam family "Bacterial small subunit ribosomal RNA", at positions 15 to 243 of the family's 1533-position model. The record is from RNAcentral.
GAUCAUGGCUCAGGAUGAACGCUGGCGGCGUGCUUAACACAUGCAAGUCGAACGGGGAUUAUUUCAUUGAAGCUUCGGCAGAUUUGGCUUAAUCCUAGUGGCGGACGGGUGAGUAACGCGUGGGUAACCUGCCUUGUACAGGGGGAUAACAGUCAGAAAUGACUGCUAAUACCGCAUAAGCGCACAGGACCGCAUCGGGUCCGGUGUAGAAAACGUCCGGUGGUAAUAAGAGUCGGACCCGUCGGUUGGAUUA